AUGGGGGCAACUGUGGGAGGACACAGACUUGAGAGGGCUGAGGAGGGUCACUGGAGGACCUCACCCCAUCCAGAGCGGGAGACAGACAUACUCUCUGGGCUCAGGCUGGACACAAGGGCGAGACUGCCCUGCACCUCCAUGCUUUGCCGCUCCUGGGUGGCCAGGUCCUGGCGCAGGCGUUCAGCCACAGGCGCGGUGGGCGAGGAGGGCCUAGGGGCCUCUGCAGCCAGGUGUAACUCGGCCUCCAGGGCACGGGCCUGGGCGUCCAGGGCCUGCAGUCUAGCUGCGUGCUCAGCCGUAGCUGCGCUCAGCGCCUGCAGGCAGGCCUGUGCCUCGCGCUCCCGGGCCUGCUCCCGCCGCAGCUCCUGCUCCCAGAAGGCCUCCUGGCCCAGCUCCACUGCGUUCCUCGCACCCUUCGCUCCAGGCCCUGCAGGUCUGUGCAGCAGCCCGGCACAGGCACUACGGGAGCCAGAGGCUCGGGUGGCACAGGGCCGGGGCCUGCCCAGAGCACCCCAGGCUGAAGGUCAGUGCUUUGCAGGGCUCACGGUCCAGUGCUGGUCGAGGCUUUGGGGAAGGCUAGCUCGGAUGGGACAGCGCUCAGGGGAGGGCAGCUGUCCGAGGAGGGCCUCCCAGCGAGGCUGGGUCCUGUCCGCCUCAGGACAAACUGGACAUCACUGGCAAACUGUCCGCAGGUCGCUUGGGCACCCACAGGACAUUCCUGGGGUAGCAGCUGCCGUUCCUUCUCUCUGAGGCGCUGCACGAGCACAAAGCGGCCCGUCUGGCCUGGAGCCGGGAAAGGGUCAGUCAGCCCACAUCCCUUACCUUUAGUCCAUCUGGCUUGAGCAGCUGGGGAAAGCAAAACGGACCAGCAACAGCCCCACCCUCCUGGGGCCAGAUGGGGCCGGAGGCCAGGCGCCACUGCAAGCCACCUGCUGGGCCCAUCUGUGCUUCAGGAACUCACCUAUGGCUUGGGCUAGUGCAAUGACCACUUCUUGACAGGUGGUCUGCUCUGAAACCCCACAAACCACGCGCUGGAUGCCGUCCACCCACACCUUCAGCUCCAUGGCCGCCAGUCCUGAGAGCAUGCCUGUCCUGCAGCGAGGGCGAGGGCCACGGGGUCAGGCCCGCCUGGCCCCAGCUCGGCAGCCGGCUCUUCCUCCUCAGGCCUGCCCCGCACCCCGGAACUGGCUCAGGACUGCUGCCCCUCGGCAUCUGGUGCGCAGCCCACACGGAGGCCGCACAUUCCUGGGGUGGGGCAGCAAGGCCAGUGCCCCCAGAGAGGAACCAGAGGGCCCUCCCGCAGCGCUCGGAGGCUGCCCCACUCCCCAGCCUGCUCUCGGCCGGCCCCACUCCCGGAACCAAGCAAAUCAUUAACCAGACCGGGCCACCCGGCUUGAAGGGCACAGCCCCUCCCGCGGGGCGUCCGCGCGCAGCCCUCGACACCGCAGACCCGCCGCACCCGGCGCGGGCGGCCCCUCCCUGCUACCGCGCGGCCCCGCGCUCGCCGCGAGGCCGCAGUCCCCGCUCUCGGCGGGUGCAGGUGCAGCGCGGCCCCUCGCCGGCCCGGCUCCCGCCCCUCCGUCGGAGUCGCAGCCCAGGGCCACGCCCUGCGCCGCGAAGGCCCCGGAACUCGGCGCGGCUCACCUGGACGCUGACCGGCCUCCGGAAUCCGGACGCGGACUGGCUGCUGCCAGGCUCCGGGCGCCGCCGCAAGGCCAGUGCCCCCAGAGAGGAACCAGAGGGCCCUCCCGCAGCGCUCGGAGGCUGCCCCACUCCCCAGCCUGCUCUCGGCCGGCCCCACUCCCGGAACCAAGCAAAUCAUUAACCAGACCGGGCCACCCG
RNAcentral lists this long non-coding RNA (1842 nucleotides) under Bos grunniens (domestic yak). RNAcentral's name for it is "lncRNA (ENSBGRG00000017877.1)". The record is from RNAcentral. Lineage: Eukaryota; Metazoa; Chordata; Mammalia; Artiodactyla; Bovidae.